AUGAUUGAUAUUGAAUUAAUUGAUAGAUUACAUAAGCUUGUUGAAAAGUUUGACAUAGAAAAACUAGGAAGUAAAAAAAAUAAAAUAAAAAAAAAAAAUACAUAUAAAGAUAAUGAAGAUGUAUUUAAACAUAAAUUAACAAAAAGAAUUAGUGGCAGUAAUCGAUCUUUUUAUUUUCCAUUAAGAAAAUAUUUUAACAAAACAGAUCCACUUAUAAUGAAAAACAAAAAAUUAAAAAGAAAAUUAUUACAUAGCUCAAGUAGUAAUUUAAAAAAUUUAAAUAAAUAUACACAUUAUGAAAAUGCAGGAUUAUUACAUAGGAAUACAUUAAAAAAUAAUUUUUAUGACAAUUAUUCAAAUAGUCAUAAUAAAAAACAAAUAAAAAGUCAGUUUUAUAAUGAUAGUAAUAAUCUUUUAGUAACAGAUUUUUAUAUGUAUUCAACUUUAAAUGCAAGUUUUAAUCGAUUUAACUCUAUGAAAAAGCAUAAUAAUUUUGGUAUUGUUCAUCAAAACAAUCUAAACAAUACAUGGGAUAGUGACAAUGUAAUUACUAAUAGUAAUACUGCUUAUGGACACAACUAUAACAAAAAUAAUGAUUACUAUAAUACCAACUAUAAAUAUAGUAGUGGUAAUUAUAACAAUUACACAAAUAACUACAUGAGAAGUAACUACAGUUAUGACAAUAAUAUUUAUAACGAUAAUUUUAAAAAAGGAUUAUAUAAUAUAAAUAAUUGGAAAUCUAAAAAAAAAAAGAUUUGGAAUAAUUAUAAUUUUGAUAAAAAUAUAAAAAGUAAUAAUUUUCAGAAUACACAAUAUACAUUAAAUUAUAAUAACAAUAACAGUAGUAUGAUUUUAAACAAUUAUAUGUCGUCUCAAUAUACGGGAGGAGAAUGUGGAGAUUUCAUUUAUGAAUUACAAACACCCAAAAAAAUGUUAACAUUAGAAAAACGUCUUAUGAAAAAUAUGUAUAACAAAAAAAAAGUUAAAAAGUUUGUAAAAGAUGAGAAAAUAAGAGACCUUCUAAGGACAGCAGAAAAUGAAAAUGAGUUAAUAAAAGCUAUUAAUUUUGCAAAACAUGCGGGUCUUUAUUUUGAAGCAGCCUUAGGCGAUAAAAAGUUGAACAGGUUGAAGGUGGUGGCUUAA
RNAcentral lists this long non-coding RNA (1143 nucleotides) under Piliocolobus tephrosceles (Ugandan red Colobus). Its description in RNAcentral is "lncRNA (ENSPTEG00000004354.1)". Lineage: Eukaryota; Metazoa; Chordata; Mammalia; Primates; Cercopithecidae. The record is from RNAcentral.